This 20-nucleotide transfer RNA is filed under the name Leptolyngbyaceae cyanobacterium WOS-LAB06. RNAcentral's name for it is "partial tRNA-Ala". The record is from RNAcentral. Lineage: Bacteria; Bacillati; Cyanobacteriota; Cyanophyceae; Leptolyngbyales; Leptolyngbyaceae.
GGGGGUAUAGCUCAGUUGGU